RNAcentral lists this ribosomal RNA (297 nucleotides) under uncultured Flavobacteriaceae bacterium. RNAcentral's name for it is "partial 23S ribosomal RNA". It matches the Rfam family "Bacterial large subunit ribosomal RNA", at positions 1 to 312 of the family's 2925-position model. The record is from RNAcentral. Lineage: Bacteria; Pseudomonadati; Bacteroidota; Flavobacteriia; Flavobacteriales; Flavobacteriaceae.
AAUAAGCUAUUUAAGAGCGUAAGGUGGAUGCCUUGGCUCUCAGAGGCGAUGAGGGACGUGAUAAGCUGCGAUAAGCUACGGGGAUUGGCACACACAAUUUGAUCCGUAGAUUUCCGAAUGGGGCAACCCACUAUAUUGAAGAUAUAGUAUCCGUUAAGGAAGCAAACCCAGGGAACUGAAACAUCUAAGUACCUGGAGGAAUAGAAAACAAAAGUGAUUCCGCUAGUAGUGGCGAGCGAACGCGGAACAGCCCAAACCAAAAUUGUUUCGGCAAUUUUGGGGUUGUAGGACCACGAC